Long non-coding RNA from Oncorhynchus keta (chum salmon), 888 nucleotides. RefSeq lists it as uncharacterized. The transcript has 4 exons. NCBI's taxonomy places the organism in Eukaryota, Metazoa, Chordata, Actinopteri, Salmoniformes, Salmonidae. The record is from RefSeq and is a predicted model, not a curated record.
UUCUCCUGUCACCAUGUCUGCUUCCUUUUAAUGCAUGGUGACAUGGAGGCAUAUAAGUCUACCUGAGGCAUGUUUACACAGUUGUGUUUGGAAGCAUGCCAUGUUGAACCAUUUCUGAAGCAUACCAAAAGGCCAGGUUAUAUGAGUUGUUGUUGGGAAGGAAGCAUGCCAUGUUAAACCAUUUCUGAAGCAUACCAAAAGGCCAGGUUAUACGAGUUGUUGUUGGGAAGGAAGCAUGCCAUGUUAAACCAUUUCUGAAGCAUACCAAAAGGCCAGGUUAUAUGAGUUGUUGUUUGGAAGCAUGCCAUGUUAAACCAUUUCUGAAGCAUACCAAAAGGCCAGGUUAUAUGAGUUGUUGUUUGGAAGCAUGCCAUGUUAAACCAUUUCUGAAGCAUACCAAAAGGCCAGGUUAUAUGAGUUGUUGUUUGGAAGCAUGCCAUGUUAAACCAUUUCUGAAGCAUACCAAAAGGCCAGGUUAUAUGAGUUGUUGUUUGGAAGCAUGCCAUGUUAAACCAUUUCUGAAGCAUACCAAAAGGCCAGGUUAUAUGAGUUGUUGUUUGGAAGCAUGCCAUGUUAAACCAUUUCUGAAGCAUACCAAAAGGCCAGGUUAUAUGAGUUGUUGUUUGGAAGCAUGCCAUGUUAAACCAUUUCUGAAGCAUACCAAAAGGCCAGGUUAUAUGAGUUGUUGUUUGGAAGCAUGCCAUGUUAAACCAUUUCUGAAGCAUACCAAAAGGCCAGGUUAUAUGAGUUGUUGUUUGGAAGCAUGCCAUGUUAAACCAUUUCUGAAGCAUACCAAAAGGCCAGGUUAUAUGAGUUGUUGUUUGGAAGCAUGCCAUGUUAAACCAUUUCUGAAGCAUACCAAAAGGCCAGGUUAUACGAGUUGUUGUU